Coccinella septempunctata (seven-spotted ladybird) is the source of this 851-nucleotide long non-coding RNA. RefSeq lists it as uncharacterized. The record is from RefSeq and is a predicted model, not a curated record. The transcript is spliced from 11 exons. Lineage: Eukaryota; Metazoa; Arthropoda; Insecta; Coleoptera; Coccinellidae.
UUGAAAAUAAAAUAAUGAAUUACUUCCUAUUAUGAUGAUUCAAAAUGUCAUGCCAGACUAGAGUUUAUGAGCUACAUUAAUGAUUUUUCAAUAUUAACUGACAAAAGUUAAGUCAUCUAACAAAUUAUUACUGUGUUAAUAAUCUUCCACUAAUGUUGAAACAUAUUUCCAGAUCCACUGAGUGAAUAUCCAUCAUGGACUGAUGAUAAAAAUUCAGGUGAUUUCAUUUAUCCUCAUCUUGGUGUGAGAACUUCAGUUGAGUUUAUGAUUCAGCUAAAAUCUACCAUUAUUUCGGGGUGAGAACUGCAUAUGAGUUUAUGAUUCAACUAAAAUAAUCUGCCAUUAGUUCGGGGUGAGAACUGCAGAUGAGUUUAUGAUUUAGUUGACUUAAUUUAUGGUCAUGUUGGUGUGAGAACUUCAGUUGGGUUUAUGAUUUAGUUGACUUAAUUUAUGGUCAUGUUGGUGUGAGAACUUCAGUUGGGUUUAUGAUUCAGCUAACAGUGUUAAACAUUAUUUUGGGUUGAGGACUGCAGAUGACUUAAUGAUUGAAAAGUGGACUCUAUGUUAUAAUUUCGAAAAAGAACUCCAGAUAAGUAGAUGAUGGGCAAGUUUUCUUUUGCAGAUUAUGGUGAUGGAAAUCGUUGAGAAGCUCACUAAGGUGGGCAAGUUUCCAUUUGAAGAUUGUGGUGAUGGAAACAUUAGAAACUCACUAAGAUUUCAGGUUAUGGAUACAACACUUUGCACACCAGGUGAAUAGCUUCAGCUUCAUUAAUAUUAAGGAGUUGUUUGAAAUUGUAAGUGUGUGGUAUGGAUAAAUGUUUGAGAUUUCAGAUCCUGUGUUCCUGAUAAUU